GGAGAUAAACGCUGAAAUGGAGAUAAAACGCUGAAAUGGGUACAAAACGCUGAAAUGGGGAUAAAACGCUGAAAUGGGGAUAAGACGCUGAAGUGGGCAAAUUUAAUCGAAUUCGUUGUUUGCUAGACCAUUGCGAACACAUGUAAUUUGCCUAUAAAACUGAAUAAAUAUAAGAAAGAAGUUACCUAAAAUGACAACCACAAAUUUUCGAAGAACGUCUGCUGCACUAUUUUUAAAGUCGUUUGAAUUAAAUUUGACUACUAUACCUCAAGGUAGAGAUUGACAAAUUAUCAGAGCCGUCCCCAGGAAAUUUUUCAGGGGGGUGUAAGGUCAUUUCAACCGACUGACGAACUAGCUUGUACCGACCACAUGCUAGCCAUGGAAGCUUGUAAAAUUUCCGAUGGAGGUCAACUACGGAGCUAUUUUGGAUUAAGGGAGCUAUACCGAACG
Paramuricea clavata is the source of this 450-nucleotide non-coding RNA. NCBI's taxonomy places the organism in Eukaryota, Metazoa, Cnidaria, Anthozoa, Malacalcyonacea, Plexauridae. The record is from the annotation of a GenBank genome assembly.